AGGAGUUAUCAGACAAUUAAAGAUGUGAUAAAUUUAGCCAUUGGAACAGGAAAUUGGCAAUAAUGCAGAAAUGAGAGGAAGCAGUUGAGCUAACUGCUGGGCACUCUACAAAAUUGGCUAUAAAAAAGAAGGACUGCCAUAAAUAUAAGGGCAGCCCGGAGAGGACACUGCUGGUAAUGAAACCCCCACUCCCGAUGCGGGAAGCGGGGAGACGCGGGGCUGGGGGCUCCUGGAUCUCAGCUCUUGGCUCCUCGGGGCGCACAGCCCGGCGGCGGUGAUGGAAAGCCAGAAGCAGAGUGCAGGGCUAGCUCACUCCUGCUCUGAGCUGGCGGUGUCAGAGCAAGAAAAGCUUAAAACCUUUUAAAAACCCACCCACCGUGCUAUGGGUGCUGACCAGAGCGACGGCACGGGCUGCGUGGGGGAGCCCCCAGGAACGGGACCCGGCGCAUGCCGGCGAAAUGCCAGAGUGGGGCCGGGACAGGCAGCGGGAUAACGGCUGGGCUAAUUGCCUGGGACUGCAUCGCAUCAAAGGAGCGUGUAAUAGACGCAGGGCUGGGGUCAGGAGAGUGCAGCCGGGGAAAUUUGCUGCCGGGGGCAGAGCCCAGCCAGCAGCGGGCUGGGGAAGCUCCGGCACCGCCCCUGUGGGGGCUUCGUGGAGAAAACAGAGGGGUGAGGGUGGCUGGGGCCACGGCCAGCCCAUCCAGGGCAAGGCACACAGCAAAAUUCCAGCUGCAGGAGGAAACAAUACCAUCUGCUUCACAUCCAGGAGUCAUGUCAGCAGCUGCGGAGAGGAACGGGAUGGAGGAGUGGCGAGGAUGAAACUGAAUUGGAGAAGAGAUCCAAAUGCCAAGGAGGAGAGCAGACACACGAGCGGGUCCCGCUGAGCCCACGGGCAGGUGGAGGCUGGAAGAACACAGCUGCGCCAUUUGGGAGAAAAUGAUCCGAAUCGGGCUGCGAGCCACCAGGAGGGAGAGUCCCGUGGGGCUGAGCGAGGCACGGCACGGGGUCUGCCACAUCCGACAUUUUCGGAGCAAAAUAUUGCUGGAAAAUCCUUGCCCAGACCAAAAUCCAGCCUCUGCCCCACGUCGGAGGUGCAGGACGUGGGUGAGCACCACCGUGGCAUCCCCUCUCCCCCCAAGGUGAGCACAAAGGAGACCCAGCACAGCUCGGAGACGAUCCGUGCUGUGGCUGUGCCGCGUGCUCCGUGGGCAUAUGGCAAGCCAUUCACUAAAUAAAAAAAUUAAAUUACCCGAGACUAUAAAACAGUCAAUUUAGAGCGAUAUC
Molecule: long non-coding RNA, 1284 nt
Filed under: Cairina moschata (Muscovy duck)
Lineage: Eukaryota; Metazoa; Chordata; Aves; Anseriformes; Anatidae
Description: domestica (muscovy Duck (domestic type)) lncRNA (ENSCMMG00000006755.1)
Source: RNAcentral